Molecule: long non-coding RNA, 4275 nt
Organism: Alexandromys fortis (reed vole)
Lineage: Eukaryota; Metazoa; Chordata; Mammalia; Rodentia; Cricetidae
Exons: 3
Source: RefSeq, a predicted model, not a curated record
GUGGGGGGGGGGUGAUCCAGAAGUGGCUGCACUACUGCCCCUGCUGUUAUAGUCUCCAUCCCAGACAAGAAGCAGGACUAGUUAACCUUCCCCAUGCUUACUUCUUACAUUGAUACCACAAGGCACAUAGAGGCAAGCGAUACGCCCAGAGUCACAUCGCUUCCCAACACACAGAUGGAAUGGGUAGAGAUCACACUCAACAAACAGGGAACCAGGCAAGAAGUCUCCAGGAGACAGAGGAGGGCAAGAGGAAGUGACCCGCCCCGGGCUUAGAAGUCCCAGCUCGUGGGGUGGCCUGCACUAUGGGUCUGCUGCCAUUCACUGAGCGUCAGUCUCUUCAGUGUGACACAAGAGGAUCCUCAGGUUGGCUGUCUGUGGCCAUCCCCGUGCAGGGUUUUUGACCAGCUAUGCUUGCCCUGUCCUGACUAAUAGGGAAAUGGCAGUCAGCUGUGGUAGGGCUGAGGCAGGAGAUCGUUCUUAGUACAGAGACCCUCAGAGCAGCGUCCUUCAGAUGCCAGUGCCUCAGAACAGCCCCUGUCCCUAGGCCUCUCCAGGGAAACCAUUUAACCUGUUGGCCCAGACCCAUAGGAUAAGUGGUCUCCUCUCCUCCAGGGGCCCCAGGGGGACACCAGUCAGCCCUCUCUAGAGUGGGGGAGGGAAGGCCACGAGGAGCUUAACCCUAACAGGAUGAGGGCGCCAUAAUUAGGGUCAGGUGGUUGGCUCAGCCUGCGGAAAUCCCCGGCUUAGUAGGAACAGGGGCCUCAACCUGAGGGAGGGGGUCAGAGCAGAAGUGAAGGGGCAGAGAGGGUCAGGCAUCCCAAGAUUCAAGGGCUUAGACCCCAGCCAUCCCCUGAAAGAGCCCAUUACGGACACCUGCACGUGGUCCCCUCCGUCUCCCAAGUGUCAACCCCCAUGAAAGAAGGGUGACACAAACUAUCCAGCCCCCACCACAGAGGUCCUCAAGCUGGGGUGCACCAGUAUCACCCCCUGCCCGUGCCUUUGCAGAAGGAGGAGAGCCGUGUGAGAAAGGCUGGCCUCUGCAUUCCCAGGACAGCCCAGGCCAGCCCUGUCUGUAACCCUAGUGAGGAUGGAGGAUCGCUUUCCACUGUGGAAUGUAACACCCAGGAGAUGAAACAGGACAGGGCAGAGCAGGGGCCUUGAUGGAGGUGCUCCCCGGCUCCCCCAAAGGCUCUACAACAAGGUCUCAGGCUGGCUAGGCCAGGUGUCCCCAGAUCAUCCCCACCCGGAACCACGACACAGGUUGCCAGCCUGUAUCAUCAUCCAGCAGAAGAAGCAGGUCCGGCGUGAGAAGUGGCUAAGACCGUGCGCAGGGGAACCCCAUACAGUGUUAGAACGAGGAACUGAGCGGAGUGGGGAAUGUGGACCUCCCACCCCCGCUCUGGGACGGGAUCACAGGGGCCUGGAGCACACAGCUGCAUGUGCAGACAGACACACACACAGAAGCACGUGCACACACUCCAGGGCAUGAGUCUCUGCACGUCCCAGGAGCUAAGAGUUCCAGCCCCUUCUCUCCCCUCUGAUAACGUAGAUGUUUCCAGAGGGGCAGACACGUCGCCUUCAGACGAGCCAUGUCAGGCAUGUGCCAGGCCAGCUGCCAAGGCCCAGUGUGCCAGACUUUCUGGGCCCUAGAGGAUGUCCUGCUCCAGGGGUUGCCCUGCUCAGGAUCCGGUGUGGGAUGCCUCAGAGGUCAUGACACUGCAUGGCAGGGCCUGCGGAGGACCGCCACUGGUUUUGUGUAGCACCAGCCAUUACUGGCAUCCCAGGGACACUGGGAACACGGCUGAAGGGUGGAGGAAAACAGAAGUUCUGUAAGGACCAGGAGGGUGGGACAGGGAAGGUGCUGGGUGAGCAAGAAGUGGAGGGUCCUUGCCGGCUUGUGGUUUGGGUUAGAGAAGAGAGGAGAGGAUCUAGCCCAAGGAUGUCGGGGUUCCCCAAAGUGAAAGAGGACAUGAGGACUCCGGCAAGCAGAGCUGUGUGACUUCAGAUCUUUGUGCUGCUUCAGAGCUAGAAGGUGGAGGGGCUGGAGAGAUGGCUGCUCUUCCAGAUGACCCAAGUUCAACUCCCAAGAAGGACAUAGUGGCUCACAGCAUCUAUAAUAAGUUCUGAUGCCCUCUUCUGGCCUGCGGGCACACAUGCAGACAGACCACUCAUACCAAAAAGGAAAAAAAAGUGGAGAGAUGAUCAAGAACAUCCCAUCCAGGAAUGCGUGUGUGUGUGUGUGUGUGUGUGUGUGUGUGUCUGUCUGUCUGUCUGUCUGUCUGUGUCUGUGUGUGUAUGUAUGUGAGAGCACACACGUCUGUCUGUCUGCCUGUCUGCAUCCACACAGAAUAAAGAAAACUAGAAGAGUGAGAGGUGUCAUCACCUGAGCCAACCUAAUACUGCACCUGAGGCCCAUAAGGGAGCAAGAGUCCCCCAGGCCCUCAGCACAGGUUCAGGCAGAACCAGGAGCUACAGUCACUAGGGGCAUGCACCAGGCUGCCCACAGCGGUCUCCUCUCCCUCUGCUCCUCCACAGGCUGGGGAGAAGGGACCACCUUGGGCAAAGGCAACCUGUCACACAGUGAAAUUAUUCAUUUCAGAGCCCCUUUUAUGACCUCAGGAGCCAUGCUGGGGAAAACGGGAGGCGAGCAGCUCCAGGGUCACAAGCUCCUGUAGUUAAGUUGAUCUUUUUUCCCCUUUUAGAUGGGUCCUUACUAUAGAUAAAAAUGAAAUAUCUGUGGAAUGCUAACCUGUCUCAGGCAUGCUUCAAAAUAAUCUAGAGCUGGGGGGCUGGGCGGGGAACCCCCUCCAGGGAACCCCCCACCAACAUUUGUGGAGAUGCCCCUGCCAACAAUAUUGCCACAGCUUCCUGCUUCUUUUCAAUAAGGGACCUUGAAGCCUGGGACUGAGCCCUGUCACUGGACCCAAGAGGCUGGGGCUGGAACAGGCCUCAGUAGGUGUGGCCCUUGUUCCGGGCCUUGCCCUGCACGUGGCCCUGGCUUCUCAAACAACAGCACCUGCCCGAAACAGGAAAUGCCCCCAGCCACGAUCCUUCAGGGAAAGCCACCGCCCCAGCCUCCCACACCAGCUCCUGGCUGCCCAGCCGCCUCCACCAGGACUCCAAGCACCAGCGUUUUGUACAAAGUGCGACACACAGUGGGUGCUCUACGUCUUGCACCAGAUCCCCCCGAAGAAGAUUCUGAACUGAGAACACGUGGCUUUGUGAUUUUGGGGGUGCUCCUUGGAAAACUGGAAGGGAUGUGGAGCAGCAGAGAAGGAAGGGAGAGGCCGUCAAGGGUGCGGUUGCAGAAGAGAGAACUGACUGAUCCCGGUUCUGUCUCAGGGCUGUUCCCACGCCAAGCAAGGGAGAAGGGAAAGAUGCACUUCCAAGACUGCCCACUAUGCGGCAGUAGCUGAGUAGUCUGAAGCGCUCUCAGGAGGAAGUCACAGGACUACAGAGAGGGAGUGGAAACGCAACAGAGGUCGGAGAAAUCUACGGCCCUCAGAAAUGUCAGCUCGACUCAUACUGCAGAAGCUCCCCGUGGCGUCCCGUGUGCUCCUGGAAGAGGAUGGGACCGUCAAGCAAAGAGGAGCUCCUGUAACUUAGGCUGCCAGCCUCCGGCAGGACCUCACAAGAACGAGGGCCAUUAAGCUUGUCUUGGGAGCCGUGCCUGCUGUGUGUCUGACGUGUGUUAGAUCCUUCACAAGAUCUACUCAUUUAACUCUCCCACGGUCCUGUGUAGCACCAAUUUGGAGAGAGGAAACUGAGGCAUGAAUGGCGGGUGGGGCUGCUUUGCUUAACCGCAAAGAGGACGGUGGACUAAAUGCAAAUUAAAACCACAGUGGGAGUGGGGGUGGCGAAGCAAUCCUUUAAUCCCCGCACUUAGGAGGCAAUGGCAGGUGGAUUUUUCUGUUUGGGACUAGCCUGGUCUACAUACCGAGUUCUAGGCUAACCAGAGCUAUGUGGUAAGGUCCUUUCUCAAAAGUAAAUAAAUAAGUAAAUAAAUAAACAUAAAAUAAAGCUAUGGUGAGGAACAAGAGAAAUGGCCCACUGGUUAAAAGUAUAUACUGCUUGAGUGAGGUAACGCUGACACAGAAAGACAAUUAUCACGUGUACUCACUCAUAGGUGGUUUUUAAACAUAAGGCAAAGAAAGCCAGCCUACAAACCACAAUCCCAGAGAACUUAGACAACAAUGCAGACACUAAGAGAGACUUACAUAGAUAUAAUCUACAUGGGAAGUAGAAAGUAGAAAAAGACAAGAUCUCCUGAGUAAA